AGAGGCUGGCCAACAGUAGUAUGAAGCCAGCUCACCUCCAGCGUCACCUAAAGCGUUUUCAGUAGCGUCACCACAAGGCCUAACAUGUUUGAGUUCACGUUGAACAGGACGGUGCUGAGGACACCGUCGGUGGUGCCAGACGACUGUGUCACUGAUCUCAAUCUCUGGGAGAAGUUAUCGUUCACAUCAGUCGCCUGAGCCAGCUGUGGUCAAGAGUCAAGACGUAAACACAGCAGCAUGGUGAAAGAGUUUGGAGAUUUAUUCCUUGAUGGGGAUUGUUUCAUCAUUUGUAUAUACCAAGGGCCGAACAGCGCAAUACUCAUAAAAAAACAACAGCCCUUGGAAGUGGUUUGAUCUACAUGGACUUGUUUUGAAGGUGCCCCAUUGUAUCAGGGUCUCUCAAACGGGUCAGCCAUGCAAUGUGAUGGAGCGUUUUUGACAUUCCAGCGCAGCCCGUCAUCUUUCCCCAACACCCUUCUUCUCUCAGCUAAUCCCCCCAUUCUCACUCAUUUGAGAGACCCUGCAUUGUAUAUUAUGUAUGGCUGCGAAUUUCUGACGCUUAUAUAAUUGAACUACGUCAAUACUUAGCAGAUAAUGUAUUUUACCAUCAUUCAUUACUUUAUGAUAUAAGGAUUUGCAACAAUAUUAAAUUUUUUUCCACCUAAUAAUAGAAAAGUAACUCCACUACUGUAUAGAAGUCUCGACUAGAAGUAUGGAAUUGGACAACACCCACAACAAGGACGGAUAGAUGCGACAUGUCACCAGCGACCACCAGCUCCUUAAUUUAUUUCACGCCGUAUUUUUAAUAUCGGUUCUCUCAAGUAUGCCGCACAAUAUGUAAACGUAAAUCUACAUCUACAGUACCCAUGCACUUCUAUGGCCUAACAUACGUCUUACUAUUCAGUUUUAUUCUAAAUGUAACUCCUUGAUCUCAUUCCAUGAGUUUGAUGGGGUUGCUCCACGCUGAUUGGCUUAAAAAACGUUUGCCAAACGAGAACACGAUUGGUUUGCUUAUACGCGAUUUGGCCCAACCGCAUUUUCAAACUGCGCGAGAGUUCCGCAGCUGGCCGAUAUGUGGGAGCUCCGCUCUUCUCGUGCCUCUUUCAUUUGCAGUCUGCCAGCACUGAGUACAGAUGGAAUCUCUUCACUCUGCCUAUAAUUCACCAAGAUAGCCUCGAAACGUCCUUCAUCUGCAUGUGGGGUUAUUUUUAUAAGUGGAAUUUUGAUAAAGUGGUAAAACUCAGUGGAAGAUGGUGACUGACUGUGGUGUGAGUGGUGAAGGCAGUGACUACAGUGAGGCAUGAAGAUGCUGUGAGAAUGCAGAAAUAACCUCUGAUCUUCAGUGACAUGAAAUGUGGAUGAAGAAAAAGAAAGACUCAUGGGAAAAGGAUAUGGAGCCCUCAGUCUUUUUCUGAUGACUCAGGUUCAACUGUGGUCUUUCCUCUGGAUAAGAGUCUGCCUGCACCUGCAAAAUUGGAUGAUGCAGAUGACAUAUAUUCUCCUUCAUAUUCCCUGAAGAGCAUCAAUACCAUAACUGAGAAACUGGACUUAAGAAGUGACUCGAUGGAAGAGCAGCUCCAGUACAUCCCUCAAACAUUCACUACAGAUGAAGCCACAAACAUAAACAGAUUAUUUUAUUUUAUUCCUUUCUUCUUCUUUUUCUUUUUUUUUUCUUGGUGAAAAGGAAUUCCUAAAAUUUUUAGCUACCAGCAUUUUUUGUAUAUAAAAAUUGUUUUUGUAUCUUAGCUAUUUAUGAUUUAAUUAAUUUUGUUACUGUU
Portunus trituberculatus (swimming crab) is the source of this 1778-nucleotide long non-coding RNA. RefSeq lists it as uncharacterized. The transcript is spliced from 3 exons. The record is from RefSeq and is a predicted model, not a curated record. NCBI's taxonomy places the organism in Eukaryota, Metazoa, Arthropoda, Malacostraca, Decapoda, Portunidae.